Long non-coding RNA from Syngnathus acus (greater pipefish), 874 nucleotides. RefSeq lists it as uncharacterized. Lineage: Eukaryota; Metazoa; Chordata; Actinopteri; Syngnathiformes; Syngnathidae. The record is from RefSeq and is a predicted model, not a curated record. The transcript is spliced from 2 exons.
AGCACUUCGAAACAAAAGCUCCUGCUUUGUUUUGACAACGCAGAAUGAGUUUUAUCUGCAAGAAAGGGAAAUUACAGAAAUCAAUUAGAAAAUCAUGCAAGAGAUUUAAUUGGAUAAGGCGGAUUUGCUUGAACAAGAAAGACUUUGAAGGGAAGGCUUCACCUCAGAGUGGAAGUGCACCGCUUUGCUGUCUGACACCUGGAGCUGAGUGGUGAGCUCUCCCACUCUGGUCAUGUAGUGAGUUUUUAUCAGCUGCUCCCUGGACUCCUCGUCUCCCACCUGCAAAACACACGCAACAUCCUGCAAUGUUACUUACACCGGAUUUAUCGAUUGGGAAUACGUGGCUUUGAACUUUUUCAUACAAAUGCAUGGCCACUCACAUGCUCGACAACGGGUACGGUACACAACAUGCCAACCUGGAGGGAGGAGACAAACACAGCUGUUGAGUAAACUGCAAUAAUAAAUUGAGGCCUGACCAGUUCUGGAUUAUAGGGGCACAUUAAACCUCUAAUAUUCUUCUAUUGCGCUGCAUCAGCAAAUUUAGAUGUCUGAGGCAAAUUUAGAUGUCUGAGUUUUAUCUUACAAAAAAGCGUGGGAAGAACAGGAACAGACAAUAAUAGUUACAGAAAAUCAGACCACAAGGAGGAACUUUCCUCCGCAAGAUAAAAUUAAGAAGUGACUGUACCAGGCUGGUGCACAUAGUUUCUUUCGCAGUGGUUUUCAAAGGCGUCUCAACUUCCUCGUGGUUCUGUGUCAGCGAGCUGACCACAGUCGUCUGAGAGUUCCGACCUUCCCCGAGAGCCAUGGCGAGCUGCGCUUCCAGGUCUGAAAUACGCUGGUUCUCCUUUUCCAGUCGCACCUUCCCCAGUUGAGC